UACGUAGGCAGCAAGCGUUGUUCGGAGUUACUGGGCGUAAAGGGUGCGUAGGCGGUUGUUUAAGUUUGGUGUGAAAUCUCCCGGCUCAACUGGGAGGGUGCGCCGAAUACUGAAUGACUAGAGUGCGGGAGAGGAGAGUGGAAUUCCUGGUGUAGCGGUGAAAUGCGUAGAUAUCAGGAGGAACACCGGUGGUGUAGACGGCUCUCUGGACCGUAACUGACGCUGAGGCACGAAAGCGUGGGGAGCAAACAGG
Molecule: ribosomal RNA, 253 nt
Filed under: uncultured bacterium
Lineage: Bacteria
Description: partial 16S ribosomal RNA
Rfam family: Bacterial small subunit ribosomal RNA
Source: RNAcentral